RNAcentral lists this ribosomal RNA (1958 nucleotides) under human gut metagenome. RNAcentral describes it as "bacterial LSU rRNA". It matches the Rfam family "Bacterial large subunit ribosomal RNA", at positions 1 to 1977 of the family's 2925-position model. The record is from RNAcentral.
GAAAGUAAGCAAGGGCGCAUGGCGGAUGCCUUGGCUCUCGGAGGCGAUGAAGGACGUGAUAAGCUGCGAUAAGCUUCGGGUAGGUGCAAAUGACCUUUGAUCCGAAGAUUUCCGAAUGGGACAACCCGACAUUCUGAAGGAAUGUCAUCCUGCUUGGCAGGAGGCUAACGCAGGGAACUGAAACAUCUUAGUACCUGCAGGAAAAGAAAAUAAACAAUGAUUCCCCCAGUAGUGGCGAGCGAACGGGGAACAGCCCAAACCAUCCAUGUUACGGCAUGGGUGGGGUUGUAGGACUACGCCGUUGCAUGAAGACAUCAGAGAAGAACUUUCUGGAAAGAAAGACCAUAGAGCAUGACAGUUGCGUAUUCGAAUGUUGUCGAAGCAUAGUAGUAUCCUGAGUAGCGCGGAGCACGAGGAAUUCUGCGUGAAUCUGCCGGGACCAUCCGGUAAGGCUAAAUACUCCCGAGAGACCGAUAGCGAACCAGUACUGUGAAGGAAAGGUGAAAAGCACUUCGAAUAGAAGAGUGAAAUAGUCCCUGAAACCAUGCGCCUACAAGCGGUCGGAGCAGCUUAUGCUGUGACGGCGUGCCUUUUGCAUAAUGAACCUACGAGUUACUUUUUCCGGCAAGGUUAAGGAUCUAGAGAUCCGUAGCCGAAGCGAAAGCGAGUCUGAACAGGGCGAUAAGUCGGAAGGAGUAGACGCGAAACCAAGUGAUCUACCCUUGGCCAGGUUGAAGGUUAGGUAACACUAACUGGAGGACCGAACCGAUAAGCGUUGAAAAGCUUCCGGAUGAGCUGAGGGUGGGGGUGAAAGGCUAAUCAAACUUGGAGAUAGCUCGUACUCCCCGAAAUGCAUUUAGGUGCAGCCUUGUGAGUUACUAAUGUGAGGUAGAGCGACUGAUAAGAUGCGAGGGCUUCACCGCCUAUCAAGUCUUGAUAAACUCCGAAUGCGCAUUAGUUCUAUCACAGGAGUGAGGGCAUGGGUGCUAAGGUCCAUGUCCUAAAGGAGAAGAAUCCGGACCAUCAGCUAAGGUCCCGAAAUAGAUACUAAGUUGAACUAACGAAGUCAGAUUGCUAAGACAGCUAGGAUGUUGGCUUGGAAGCAGCCAUUCAUUUAAAGAGUGCGUAACAGCUCACUAGUCGAGGAGUUUGGCGUGGAUAAUAAUCGGGCAUUAAGUAUCUUACCGAAGCUAUGGGAUCAUUAAUGAUCGGUAGGGGAGCAUUCCACUCCGCGUCGAAGGUGAAGCGUGAGCUUUGCUGGAGCGUGUGGAAAAGCAAAUGUAGGUAUAAGUAACGAUAAAGGGGGCGGGAAACCCCCUCGCCGAAAGACUAAGGUUUCCUGAUCAACGCUAAUCGGAUCAGGGUUAGUCGGGUCCUAAGGCUCAGCCGAACGGUGAGGCCGAUGGCAGAACAGGUUAAUAUUCCUGUACUACCUUAAGGAGUGACGUGGAGACGGAGUCGUGACAACGCCGCGGACUGACGGAAUAGUCCGUUGAAGGGUGUAGAUGUUGAUUGUGGCAGGCAAAUCCACCACGAGAGUCGAACCUGAUAGUAUACCAAUUCCUUCGGGAAACGGUAAUAGUGCGUGUAAACAUACUCCCGAGAAAAUCCGCUAAACUUAAUCCUUGAGGUACCCGUACCGCAAACGGACACACGUAGUCGGGUUGAAUAUACUAAGGCGCUUGAGUGAUUCACGGUUAAGGAACUAGGCAAAUUGACCCUGUAACUUCGGGAUAAAGGGUCCCAACGAGAGUUGGGCGCAGAGAAUAGGUCCAGGCAACUGUUUAACAAAAACACAGGGCUGUGCAAAAUUGAAAGAUGAAGUAUACAGCCUGACACCUGCCCGGUGCUGGAAGGUUAAGAGGAGAUGUCAUCGCAAGAGAAGCAUUGAAUUGAAGCCCCAGUAAACGGCGGCCGUAACUAUAACGGUCCUAAGGUAGCGAAAUUCCUUGUCGGGU